Molecule: ribosomal RNA, 497 nt
Filed under: uncultured bacterium
Lineage: Bacteria
Description: partial 16S ribosomal RNA
Rfam family: Bacterial small subunit ribosomal RNA
Source: RNAcentral
GAUGAACGCUGGCGGCGUGCCUAAUACAUGCAAGUAGAACGCUGAAGGAAGGAGCUUGCUCUUUCCGGAUGAGUUGCGAACGGGUGAGUAACGCGUAGGUAACCUGCCUGGUAGCGGGGGAUAACCAUUGGAAACGAUAGCUAAUACCGCAUAACAGUAGAUGUUGCAUGAUAUCUACUUAAAAGGUGCAAUUGCACCACUACCAGAUGGACCUGCGUUGUAUUAGCUAGUUGGUGAGGUAACGGCUCACCAAGGCGACGAUACAUAGCCGACCUGAGAGGGUGAUCGGCCACACUGGGACUGAGACACGGCCCAGACUCCUACGGGAGGCAGCAGUAGGGAAUCUUCGGCAAUGGACGGAAGUCUGACCGAGCAACGCCGCGUGAGUGAAGAAGGUUUUCGGAUCGUAAAGCUCUGUUGUAAGAGAAGAACGAGUGUGAGAGUGGAAAGUUCACACUGUGACGGUAUCUUACCAGAAAGGGACGGCUAACUACGUG